This 7864-nucleotide long non-coding RNA is filed under the name Sus scrofa (pig). Its description in RNAcentral is "lncRNA (ENSSSCG00065051717.1)". The record is from RNAcentral. Lineage: Eukaryota; Metazoa; Chordata; Mammalia; Artiodactyla; Suidae.
GUCAGGAUCAAGGCAACCCUGGGGAGCUUGACUCCUGAGGGGAGGCAGAAAGAGAACCCUCCUGCUAGAGCAGAGAUUCUGCAGGCACUUAGAAGUUCAGAUUGCUCAUAAAUUCAAAUUCUCAGAGAAACUGAGAAUUUCCUCCUCCAGGGAAAACCUCUUCUCCCCUCAAAUCCUCUGUCUGUCUGUCUGUAUUAAACCUGGGCUGUUAUAAUUAGGCCCCAGCAUAACUUAAUGGCUUAGAGGUAGAGAGAGAAAACCCAGGGUCCCAAGCUCUUUACUCUUCCCUUGUCAUUGCUAUGCUUUGUCAGUGCUUCUGGACCAGUUUUCCCAUCUUUACAAAGUUGCUGCUGUAGAAACAACAAUGAAGUCAUCAGAAUGGUAGUUGGGGAAAUUGUACAGAUUGUCCUCAUUUCUUGGGACUUAAUCCUUCUGUAAUUUCAGCUAGCCGAACAUUCAUUGCCGAGCUUCAGUGAGAAUGAACUGAGCUAAUACUUUUAUGAUCCCAAAGGUGGAACUCGUGCCAAUGGGGAGUAGUGAAAACAGAAGUCCUUCCUGAUAUCAAGCAUCUUCCUGAUAUCAAGUAUCUGAGGCAGAGUAGACCCCUGUGCCUGUGCAGAUCAUUGGUUGGCAACUCUGUCUCAUUUUUCUUCUUCUGUGCUCUUGUUUCUGUACCAUGGGGCUGGAAGCCUGAGAACUACACCUCUGAGAACCCUUGCCACAUAGGUUCUAGGUUAGAUUCUUUCAACUGGGAGGCAUGAGAUUUAGAAGGAAAGAAGCAGAAGCCAUAUUGUCCUCUAACUGUGGUAGGUAGAUUAGUGGGAUUUGGCAAAUGUGAGGUUUUAAAACAACCUCAGAAUUUUCCUGUGAGUUAACAAAAUUGGGGGCAUCUGUGAGCACUGUAGCAGUUUCCUGCAGAUCCUGCAAUUGCUUUGCUUCCUGAAACUUGCAGAGAAAUUUCUUUAAAUAUCCAAUAACCUUCCAUUUAAAAAAGCCAUUUCAAAAGUUUUGUAAGCACUGUAUCAGUUAGGUUUCGCUGAAUAAUAAGUAGCUCCACAUAGAUAGUCAUUAAAAGCAGCAUGGAUACAUUUGGCCCACAAAGUUAUGGAUUAGGAUUUGGGCUGGGCUCAGCUGGGUGGUUCUUCUGGUCUUAGUAGGGCUCACUGAUGCAUCUGAAGUCUCUUGCCAGGUGGCCUGCAGGCUGGUUGAUCUAGAGUGGCCUUAACUGGGAUGACUGGUCUGUACCCACAUGGUCUCUCAUUCUUGUAUGCAUGGUGACUAUUCAGGGUUCUAAGAAAACAGGUACAUAAAUGCAAGAUUUCUUGAUGUUAGGCUUGAAAGUGGAGCAGUGUAACUUCUUCCAUAUUCUAUUGAUCAAACUAAGCUGCAAUACCAGCCCAAAUCCAAGGUCACUUCACUUGGAUACAAGGAGGAGAAUAAUCAUAGCUAAUUUUGCAAACAGUCUACCAUGGCAUUUAUUUCUUGUAUUAAACCCUUCCUAGUUGAAAGGUCUGAGGAGUUUCUGUUUCCCUGAGUGAGCAUUGACAGUUAUAGCAUCUUUUUGUAUUUCAGAAGGCAGUCAGAAAGCAGAGACAGAUAUGGAGAUAUGGAUUAAUGUGGAAUGGAGUUAAGGAUUUGGCUUUAAGACCUGGACUGCACCAUUUACUAUAGUCAACCCAGUCAGUCUCUUUACCUUUCAGAGCCUUGAACCUUUUUUCUCAAGUGGAGAUAGAUAAACUUACGUAGAGUGGUCAAAUAAAAUACUGGUUGUAAGAGAAGUUUGAAUAAGUCAAUGGUUGGCACUUGCAUUUGAAUAACACUGUAGUAUAAAACCUUCCACUCUGGAGGUGCUCCUGAUGGAUAGAAGUUAGAAAGAAACAUGUUGGUUGCUGCUUCUCUACCUGCUUAAGUGCCCUGGUAAAUUUUGGAACUUAGAAGUCAAGAAUGACUACAAGCCAAAUCUUCCAUCUGGGGCCUCUGUGUUGGAAUUAAGCCAGAGUUUGGAAAGCCCUACAAUAGCUGGAGCCAGAACAAACUCCAGGGCUGGCAAGAGCCGUCUCCCAUCCCCUGCUCCCAUCUGCCCUUUUGGCUCUUGGUGCAGUGAGACCCUACUUGUCCUGGCCCAUCCCUUCCCCAAGCCUCACGGACACAGCUGUUUGAAGGACCACCCCUCAGCUCCUUGUUAAGACCCUACUCAAGCUGGACAUGAUUCACAAGGAUGAUGAGCUUGUAAAUAAAUUCCUGCUGCAUUAGCUCAUGGAGCUGAGGUUAAGUUGGGGAUGUGGACAAGGGCAGGCAGAGGGAGCCAGGCCCAGAAAUUUGAAUGUCCACUGUGCUUUCUCUUGGGAACAUGUGAGGAGCAUGAUGAGGACCUAGCAGAUUGUGUGACCCCAUUACUGGCAUGUGCUUCUCUCAUGCUGGGGUGAUCAUACUCUCAGGGCAGAGAUCCUGGAUCCAUAAGCCUAUGCCCUAACUCUGCUGUCAGAAUCCAGUUCUUCUAGAGACAAACUUUGGGAGGCUAGUGUCCAGGGGCUGUGUGUUAGCAGAGUAUAACCAAGUCAGCAAGCCCUGUGUGGGGCCACUGAGGAACAGGGAAUGUGCUCAGACUUGCUGGGGUUUGCCAAUAGGGUUGAGAGGCUACAGGAAGAUGAAACAGUUCAGGGAAAUUUCUAAAUAAAAUGAGAAGUCCCAGAAGGAAGUGCAUUUCCUCUCAGUGGAAAUAUGCAAGAAGAGUUCAGCUUAGCAUUAGGGCAUCCAAGUGAAGGAGUGUGUGACAGUAGCCGAAGGUUAAUUCGAUGUCUUUUGAGACCCCCCUCAAGCUCUUCAUUCCUAUAAGCUGUGGGAAGCCAAUCUGCACCAUUGUUUAGCUAUGUCUAUUUCUGCUUCCAGUGCCUUUUCAUCACAAUUAGAAUGAAAUAACACAAAAUUUCUCAUAUUAAUAUCUUCAGUAUUAUUUCAGACCAUAUUCUCUACCUAUUCUCUUCUUUCCAAUAUUGACUAUGCUUUAUGCCACCUGCCUUUCUUUUUUUAUGUGGUCUUCAAACUUGCUGUAAUAGUUAGGACAGACUGGGCUGGGCUGCAGUAACAACCCCCAAAACUCAGUGGCUCAGCUCCUAUGUGCUUCUUUUUUCUUUAUGUAAUUUCUGAUGUGGCCUGGCAGGUCUCUUCUCUAUCUGCUGACCCAGGGAUCCAGGAUCCCAUUUCACGAUGCUGCUGUUUUUUUAGAGCCACACCUGUGGCACAUGGAGGGUCCCAGGCUAGCGGUCGAAUUGGAACUAUAGCUGCUGGCCUAUGCCACAGCCACAGCAACAUAGGAUCUGAGUUGCAUCUGUGACCUAUACCACAGCUCAUGCCAAUGCUGGAUCCUUAACCCACUGAGCAAGGCCAAGGACUGAACCUGCAUCCUCUUGGCUCGUUUCCACUGAGCCAUGACUGGAACUCUACGAUGCUGCUCUCUUAACAGAUAGCUUCCAAAGUGGUCAUGGUGGUAAAUAUAUUUCACCCCAAAGUGACACUUGUAACUUGUGCUCACAGUCUGUUGGCUCCGACUAGUCACAUUGUCCUGACAUAAAGCUAAGGGAGGCUGGGCAAUGGAAGGGAGCACAUGGAUAUUCAAAUGGCUGCUACUGUCUUUGCCAUACUUGCCUAUAUUAGUGUUGUGAGCAGAAAGUAAAUUUAAUAAACAAUAUUAUGGAGUCAGUGAAUUUCUUGGAAGUUCAGAAAACUAAACCUGGAGGCCGUGCAGCUAGAAAUCACACCCCAAAUUGUGCUGCAGAGCACAUCUGAGAUACUGCUCCUGGGCACAGACACCAUGGCCACCACUACCAGCAUGUUGGCACUGGACAUGGAUUCUGCUGCUAGAGCCAUAACCAUGGCCAUAGCCUAGAGACAGUAUGGCUGCUGCACUAAGGACACCCUUUCCAGCCUGCAGUCUGCCCAACCCCCAUUUCUUUUGUCACUCACUUCUGACUCAGUUUGGGGUCAGUGUGAAUGAUUGAGGAGCCAGAAGAGCCACGUGCUGUCUGGAAGGGAGGCUGACGAGCAAACAUCUGACAUUUUACGUUCUGUGGAAGGAUGGGCACCUGGUUGUAAGGGGAGCCAGAGUGACGCUUAUUCACCACAUGGUCUCAGGGCCUUUGCACUUGCCGUGAACUCUAUCUGCAGGUGUUUCCCCAGAUGUCCUCAAAGCUGGCUCCUUCUCUGCUUAGAUGCCAUCCCUGAUGAUCAAGUCUAAUGUAGUCUUUGCCAUGCAAAGCAUGUCCACCUGUCUUGUUUUCCUCACAGGACUCAUCCCUACCUGAAAUGGCCUGGUCCAUUCAAGAGUUUGUUUAUUUGAUAUCUGUCUACUCUGUGGGUGGCCAAGAGCUCAGGGAUUUGUUCUGUGGGCUGCAAGUGCUGCCAGUGGUUUCAUGCUCCAGUCUCCUUCCAGCUCUGGGCUGAUGUGUUUUGGAGUGUAGAGGUCUGUUUCUUUACUUGAUAUAAUUAUAAAAUAACCUCCUCUCUUUGGGGGUAUUCCUGAUGUAAUGGGCUGGGAGCCCUUUUUAACCUCUAACCUUUGUCUCUCUGGCUGCAGGUUUUCCCCAGAGAGAAUGUGGCACCUGGGACUAAGGCAGAGUGUGUGAUUUCAGGUGACAGUUGGAGUUUUCAGGUAUGGGUGGACCUUAAGAUUUAAGGUGCUGGAGGAAGGGCAGAGGGCCCACAGCAGGAAGGCAGGCAUCUGGGUUCCAGGACCUUAUUUUGGAAUAAGACAGCACCCCUCCCCCCCGCUUCCUUGUUUCCUGGCAGUGAUGGCUUCUGGAAGAGGGUAUGGGUCCUCAGGUCUAUGGAGGAAGACCCAAGCUCACGCAGAGAGUUAGGAGUUAGAGCUGUGUUUUCUUUGAUGGCAUAAGUCUUGUUAACUUUUCUUGAUGCCAUAAAGCAGGAAUGUGGAGCUUUAAUAGGGUGAAAAGAGGAGAUAGGAGGUUAGCCCACGGGAGCGGAAGUUUUGGUGCCAGGAUGGUGCCUGUGCCAUGGAGCUUCCCACGGAGCCUGUGAGCCAAACUGGCCAAUGCCCAGCACGACCCAAGGCUCAGCUUGGGAACUGGGCCAUGUCUCCUGGGGCCCUGACAGCCCAGCAUGAAGGCAGCCAGACCUCUUGGAAGGAGGCGUGUGGAGACCUGAGAGUCUCUGGGCAGAGUUGGGAAGGGAAGUCACUAAGCACACACUAUUGACUCCUUGAGAUAGGAAUGUGGUCCCUGAGUUUCAAGGCCUGUCGUGCACGUGCACCCUCUCCUCUGGGGCUGGCCACCUGACUUCUGUGGGUGGGCUUUGGUCCCCUAGGGUGAGCUAAAUUUGAAUUUCAUAUAAUUUUCAUGUGUCAUGAAACAUUCCUUUUUUCCUUCAACCAUUUAAAAAUGUGGAAACCAUUUUUAGCUCCCGGUCUGUACAAAAACAGAUGGAGGGCUGGAUUUGGCCAGAGGACUGUAUUUUGCUGACCCUUGAAUUAAAUCAUCUCUAAAAACUGUUCCUGCCCUAAUUCUUUACCUGAUGGAAGAAGAGACCAAGGGUCAGAGAUGUUAGGUGGGUUUUCCCCAGGUGAGCGAACUUGCCUGGAAGGGAGUAGGGACAGACUUAACUCAUUUCUAACCUCUUAUGCAGAGGCCCUAACCCAGGGCCUGGCGCAGAGCAGGUGGUCACAGUGCUUUGUUGAAUGAGUAAAUGAAUGACUGCCCCAUGAAUGAAUGAUGACUGUAGGACCUGAAUGACAGGAAGACAGCAUUGAUUAUGCCAUUGAUGAGUGUCAGAAAACCUGUCAGAACAGCAGGGUCUGACAGUGAGGGGGGACAGAGAAAACUCAGGCACCCCAGGCUGUUCAGUAUGGGGGUGAACAGAGAUUACUUGCCCCAUGGACAUCCCUGUCUUCCUCAGAGAAACAAGGAAGUGUGAUUAUGUGAUGACGGCCAUCAGAAGGGGAUGCAAGAAUGCUGUGUAUCAGAUUGCAGGAUGUGUUACCCACGUCCUGAGUGCCAAAGCUUACUUCUUAGGGCACAGUUUUUAUGUUAGUAAGUGGUAAUCUUUAAUGUUUAGGGGCAAUUCACACUCCCACGGACGUUGUUCUCCUUGCUGAGGCUAGCUCCAAGAAGUAUCAGGUCUGAUGGUGGUGGCAUCCGACUCCCUCCGGAGUUUCUGGAGUAGGACAAGAAUGGCUGCUCCCAGUGUCUGUACCCACCAGGUGUUCAGUCAAAGUCUGCUAAAUGAAUAGCUUCUCCCUACACCUAGCAUCACACCCUGAAUGAGAGUAGAGUAUUUCAGGAACAGGGGACUCUAUGGAACCAUUCACCUCCUGGUUGCUUUCUGACAUUCGAAAUUUAUUUGGCAGGCUUACAUUUCAUGGUGAGAGAGAAAGCUUCAAGAGAGGGCCCAGGCCCUGGACUGGGACCCCUGGUGGCUGGGCUUACACAGUGUGUGUGACUCUACUUUGCUGUGGUUUCAGAGUUGAAGGAGGGGGUGGGGAGGGGCACAGCAGGAAAGGGGGUAGGGGAAACAGUGCUGUGUCCUGAGAAGUGACUGGGGGUGGAAAACAAGUUUCUCUGCUGCACAUUUCUCAUACAGGAGAUCUCAGGGGUAUUUGAUUUGCUCCUUCUCUUGUCCUGAAAGGGCCAAGGGCAGAGUCAACAUGUGUCCUAACCAACCUGGCUGCCCAUGGCCGACAGCCAGAAACUGAGGGCAGAAGUAUGUCACUGUGGUGGAGCAAGACUGUCCUCUCAUGGUGGUCCUUGGUGGCCCCUGGAGUGCAGAUGGCCCCUCCACCAGCCUGAUGAUGCAAAAGGCAGCCCACAUGCAGCCCCUCUUUUUAUCUGUGGGUUCCUCACUUCCUGCAGGCUGCAUGGACCCUAAACCAUGUGCAGACGUGCUGAGAAACAGGCAGUACUGGGGGCCCGAGUCCACCCCUCCAGCAUCAUCUCAUGCCCAUCCUUGGCACUGCUUGUUCCCUGGCUCUGUGGUUCCUAGAGGAGUGCUUCCUUGAGCCCCAUCUGAAGCAUGGUGCUCACCAGCCUUCAAGCCAGACCCAACCCUUGUGGAUCUGGCCAGGUUCAAACCCAUUCCUGGAAAAUCCAGAAUCAGCUCUUAGCAGCUGCGUUUUUGAAAAACCAGCUUUCCACAGAAAGGGUGACUGUGAUUAUUUUGUUAAUGCUUUGAAGAUGUAUUAAGGUCCAUGACUUUCUGAAGUUAAUGUUGGGUUCAGUCACAGCUCUUCCCCAACUAGCUGUGUGACCUCGGGUCAUCACCCUUCAUCACCAGAGAAGUUAAUGCUAGAAGCAUGCCCUGUGUGAACAGACCCGACUUUGGAUUCUGCCCUUCUAUCUUCUAGACAUGGUGCCUCGAGUGGGUUUUUGGUUUUUGUUGUUGUUGUUGUUGUUUUGUGUGUGUGUUUUUAAAUUCUUGUAUCCUGUUAAUUUCCUUAACAUGGGGAGGUGAUAGUGCCUGCUUACAGGAUUGUAAUGGCUACAUGACUAUGUUGUAGUAAUAAUAGCAAAGAUUUAUUGUAUGUUUACUGUCUACUUGGCUGUAUUUUGCUGUGUUUUUGUAUUUUGCUUGUGUUUUCAGUAUUAAAAGAUAAUCCUGGAGCUCCUGUCGUGGUGCAGUGGAAACGAAUCCAACUAGGAAUGAUGAGGUUGUGGGUUCAAUCCCUGGCCCUGCUUAGUGGGUUAAGGAUCCGGCAUUCCUGUGAGCUGUGGUGUAGGUUGCAGACAUGGCUCAGAUCUGGCAUUGCUGUGGCUCUGGCGUAGGCUGGCAGAUGCAGCUCCGAUUAGACCCCUAGCCUGGGAACCUCCAUAUGCCACUAGUAUGGCCCUUAAAAAAAAAAAAAAAAAAAAAAAAAAAA